Molecule: ribosomal RNA, 429 nt
Filed under: bacterium
Lineage: Bacteria
Description: partial 16S ribosomal RNA
Rfam family: Bacterial small subunit ribosomal RNA
Source: RNAcentral
UAGGGAAUCUUCGGCAAUGGGGGCAACCCUGACCGAGCAACGCCGCGUGAGUGAAGAAGGUUUUCGGAUCGUAAAGCUCUGUUGUAAGAGAAGAACGUGUGUGAGAGUGGAAAGUUCACACAGUGACGGUAACUUACCAGAAAGGGACGGCUAACUACGUGCCAGCAGCCGCGGUAAUACGUAGGUCCCGAGCGUUGUCCGGAGUUAUUGGGCGUAAAUCGAGUCCAGGCGGUUUAAUAAGUCUGAAGUUAAAGGCAGUGGCUUAACCAUUGUUCGCUUGGGAAACUGAUGAAAAUGGGUGCAGAAGGGUAGAGUGGAAUUCAAUGUGUAGCGGUGAAAUGCGUAGAUAAAUGAAGGAACACCGGUGGCGAAAGCGGCUCUCUGGUCUGUAACUGACGCUGAGGCUCGAAAGCGUGGGGAGCAAAGAGG